RNAcentral lists this unclassified non-coding RNA (408 nucleotides) under soil metagenome. RNAcentral's name for it is "partial contains 5.8S ribosomal RNA, internal transcribed spacer 2, and large subunit ribosomal RNA". The stretch from base 1 to 121 matches the Rfam family "5.8S ribosomal RNA", at positions 35 to 154 of the family's 154-position model. The record is from RNAcentral.
GAUGAAGAACGUAGCGAAAUGCGAUAAGUAGUGUGAAUUGCAGAAGUACCGUGAAUCAUCGAAUCUUUGAACGCAAAUUGCACUCUCUGGUAUUCCGGGGAGUAUGCCUGUUUGAGGGUCGCUUAACAAACCAUCGAUUUCGUUGCUUUUUUUUUUAAAGUGAUGUUUAUCGGAUUUGAGCCGUCUUUUUUUUUAUAUUUAAGUGGCUUAAAAUUUAUUUUUUUGGUACGAUCGAAGCGUAUUUUUAUGAUCAAUUUUUGGUUAAAGAAACGCACACGUACCGUUAUUUAUAUGAUGUAAUACGUUUGACUAUUGGAUUUAGUUCAUUCGUAUACGAUAUCUUUCAAUAUUUGACCUCAAAUCAGGUAAGAACACCCGCUGAACUUAAGCAUAUCAAUAAGCGGAGGA